AGAGAGAGAGAGAGAGAGAGAGAUAGAGAGAGAAAGAGAGAGAGACAGACAGAGGAAACGGGGUUCAUACAUAUAAGAAAAAGGAAGAUUGCAGAGAAAGGGAGAGAGAAGAACUAUGGAUUACAUGUCGUAGAAGAAAGAGAAGAAGAAGAAGAAGAAGAAGAAGAAGAAGAAGAAGAAGAAGAAAAGCAAAGGAGAUGGUGGUGUUUAACAACCACGUGUGUAUUUAGGAUAUCCAUAUUUUAAUUAUAUAUUUUAUUUUGUCACUGCUGGUGACAGGGGAAAUUACAAAAGCUUGCCAGUAGUGACAACUAAUUCAA
Molecule: long non-coding RNA, 320 nt
Filed under: Octopus sinensis (East Asian common octopus)
Lineage: Eukaryota; Metazoa; Mollusca; Cephalopoda; Octopoda; Octopodidae
Description: uncharacterized LOC118761555, transcript variant X1
Source: RNAcentral